RNAcentral lists this ribosomal RNA (504 nucleotides) under uncultured eukaryote. RNAcentral's name for it is "bacterial SSU rRNA". It matches the Rfam family "Eukaryotic small subunit ribosomal RNA", at positions 592 to 998 of the family's 1831-position model. The record is from RNAcentral.
CAAUAGCGUAUAUUAAAGUUGUUGCAGUUAAAAAGCUCGUAGUUGGAUUUCGGGGCCCCGGACGCUCGUUGCGUUGCCUUGUCGGACUUGUCUGGCGGGUGCGUGGCGGUCGUCGGUCUCUGAGUCGGAUCGGUCCGCCGAGAGGCGUGUACUGACCGACGGCCCCUGUUGUCUCUCGGGUUGCCCGCCUGCACUUAACUGUUGCGGACGGGGAGUUCGGGACGUUUACUUUGAACAAAUUAGAGUGUUCCAAGCAGGCCGGUUGCUUUGAAUACAUUAGCAUGGAAUAAUGGAAUAGGGCUGCGUGAUCCGUUGCUCUCGGGUGGCGGGUCCUCGUGUCCUAUUUUGUUGGUUUUCGGGACCGCAGUCAUGGUCAAGAGGGACAGUUGGGGGCAUUCGUAUUCAGUUGUCAGAGGUGAAAUUCUUGGAUUUACGGAAGACGAACAACUGCGAAAGCAUUUUGCCAAGGAUGUUUUCAUUAAUCAAGAACGAAAGUUGGGGGUU